AGUCAUGUAAUGUAGUCGACACGAGGAGACAUUGGUAACCUCUCCGGUCCAGUUAGCCCCAAAAGAGGAAUGUGUGUGUACAUUCGUUGUUUGGCGACUACCACACACGCUGGGUUUUUUUUCUGUCCGUUCGGCUAUUUCCGUGCAAGUUGUUCCAGCACACUCUGUCGUUGGGUGUAUCUAUUGCGCAGUUGUGCCUGGUAGACUGAGCUUUUUGUUCCCGUUUGAAAAACUUGAAGGAUUUGUUUGUUGGAGUUUACCAGUGCCGUCCUUUUGUGGUUUUGAUUCUGUUACCGAUACACUGAAUUACAGACAGAAUGGACAAGGACAAGGACAAGGGCAAGGAUACUGGGGAGAAUUUUGCAGUGAAGUACAAAGACGUAACAGUAGCAGCGGCAAAUUGUGAACCUGGAACUGUUAAACAUGUCGCAACGUGUGCUGCAGUUGCUACGGUUGUCGUAACUGCUGGAUAUGUGGCCGUGAAGAUACACGAUUCCAAAUCCAAACAAUAAGGCACUUUGUUUUCUGCCUUUCUGCUUUUCACAAAGAUUUCUUAUGAAUAUGAAAAUGGUUUCAUACCAUUUGAUAGAGAUUGAGAAACACGUGAUGCAAUCGGAAUAGUACAAUAAACUUUGCUUUUGAUAGAUAUUUCUUAUGAUUAUUAAAGGGAUUUGUCGCUUCUAUUUCUAUUCAAUAAAAUGCCUUUAUUUUCCACAGUAGUAACUUCCACACUCCAAGAUAAGUGGGUACUGUACUGAACAUUUUUAUGCAAGAAUUCUAUAAUUUGUAAAUAAAAGUUUACCGCUGAG
Molecule: long non-coding RNA, 809 nt
Organism: Haliotis rufescens (red abalone)
Lineage: Eukaryota; Metazoa; Mollusca; Gastropoda; Lepetellida; Haliotidae
Exons: 2
Source: RefSeq, a predicted model, not a curated record